CAUUUCGAGCGCAGAAGCGAGAGAGGGAGCCGGAGCAGCCGCAGUCCCACCGACCCCCGCCGAUCCCGCCGCCGGUCGCCCUCAUCUCCUCGCCGCUGCCUCUCGGUAAGGUCCCCCUCCUUUGCCCGCUCUAGCAUCGUUCCGUCGUCCCGUUUCCCUGCCCCGAUUUGCGCCGGAAGCGCCUGAAUCUACCCGCGAUGCGAGAUCCGCGUCCAUUUCUGGCCUCCGAGCGUCCGCUGCCUGUCGGUAGACGCGGAUCUGUUGCGUUUGUGAACCACCGCCGUCGAUCCGCAGGGUAUCCCCUCCUCAGGGCCCCUGGGUGCGGCGGAUCUAAAUCUUUCUCUGAAUCUUGAAGAAUCUAUAUCUUUUACGAAAUGUUGUUGGCAGAUCCAAACAGACUUAGAUAUUUUUCAGUAUUUGUCCGUUAGUCCUCGAAAUUAAAUCGAUUUGCAUUGUCUCUCUUGUUCCUUUGUACAAUGUGUGUUGGAAUAAUGCUUGAUACCUGAUUAAAUCCUUGUAUAGUUUCUCUUUUCAAUAAUCAAGAUGAGCCGUGGUGGUAGCGCCGGCGGUGGUCAAAGUUCUCUGGGAUACCUCUUUGGAAGCGGUGAGCCCCCCAAACCAGCAGUGGCACCACCAGCUGCAUGUGCUCCACCUGCUGAGAAACCAUCGGCUGCAAAGCCUGAUGCCACCAAACAGGUUGCUGCUGGGGUCACCAGCCAAACCAAUAACUACCACAGGGCUGAUGGCCAGAACACCGGGAACUUCCUUACGGUAUGCUAGUUUACCUUCUUUCAUUUCACAUAAGACUUUGUUUUACAUAUUUGUUGCCAUCAUCUGUUGAUAUGCUUAGAAAUGAUGUCAUAGUUUGUGAGAUGUUUAGAUGAGGUGUAAUCAUGUUAUGAGAAAGCAGUAUGGUAGUUUGUGUUGUGUUGUCACAUAAUGUAUGUACUUAUUCUAACAACCUGCUAGAAUUAUGUUGAUGGAAAGACUUCCAAUCACGUAUAUUGCUCUUUAAAUCGUACUGAGUCUUGAUUCUUGUGGGGUUGUUGACCUGUUGUGCUACAUCCUGAAUUCUUGAAUGUUUGGACCAUCAAUCAUGAGCAAGGUUUUAAAUAGCGGGCUAAGGUGUUUAGCAGUCUAUGUCUAAAACAGCUAAUAGCGGAGCUAAAUCGGGCUAUAGCGGGAUAUAGCGGCUAAAUUGUACAUAAACAUAAAUAGCGGUACCCUGCCUCAAAAGGCUAUAGCGGCAGCAAUAGCGAGAGAUUUAAAACUAUGAUCAUGAGCCAUGUACCAUUUUAUCGCCAACACUAAAUGCUAACACCUUGUUAGUGGCAAAAAAUUUAAUGCCCCUAAGAAAAUAGUCAGACCAUGUCUUUCCAUAAACCAUUGGCUAGAACCUGCUGAACCAAACAUUCCCAUAGUUGUGUCAUGACACAGAAUCUGAUUGGGCAAUACAAGAGUGCAAAUUAGGAAUCCUCAUCCUCAUUCCAGGGAAUACUGAAUUAUGAAUCCUAUUGCAGUUUCAUUCAAAACUACAGAUUCAUAUAUGAAACAUUGUUGCAAACUAAAUAUAUAACAGAGAAAGCAGGUGAACCUGGUUUACCUAAUCACUCCCCAGAAACCAAACCUUGUUUCUUCAUUUACCAGUUAUGCAAAUGCAACCGUGUCAUACUAAUUCUUGGACCUGGUUAACUGAUAGUGUUGUUAUUUGUGAAUGGUUGCAGGAUCGUCCUUCGACGAAGGUCCACGCUGCUCCUGGCGGUGGCUCUUCCCUGGGCUACCUGUUUGGUGGCAAUUGAUGCCCACGUCGGAGCUCACCAAGUUAUCCUCCCCUGCCCCGCUGCAUGUUAUGCCAUGUCUGAAUCAUGAACAACUGGUGUUGUCGUUUCAUGUGUGUGUGUGCC
RNAcentral lists this long non-coding RNA (1904 nucleotides) under Sorghum bicolor (sorghum). Its description in RNAcentral is "long non-coding RNA (SBIC_LNC001505)". Lineage: Eukaryota; Viridiplantae; Streptophyta; Magnoliopsida; Poales; Poaceae. The record is from RNAcentral.